GAGUUUGAUCGUGGCUCAGAACGAACGCUGGCGGCAGGCUUAACACAUGCAAGUCGAACGGGCGUAGCAAUACGUCAGUGGCGCACGGGUGAGUAACGCGUGGAUAUCUGCCUUUUGGUUCGGGAUAACCUUGGGAAACUAGGGCUAAUACCGAAUGGUUCCUACGGGAUAAAGAUUUAUCGCCAAAAGAUGAGUCCGCGUCCGAUUAGCUGGUUGGCGGGGUAACGGCCCACCAAGGCGACGAUCGGUAGCUGGUCUGAGAGGACGAUCAGCCACACUGGGACUGAGACACGGCCCAGACUCCUACGGGAGGCAGCAGUGGGGAAUAUUGGACAAUGGGGGCAACCCUGAUCCAGCCAUGCCGCGUGAGUGAUGAAGGCCUUC
RNAcentral lists this ribosomal RNA (384 nucleotides) under uncultured Alphaproteobacteria bacterium. RNAcentral's name for it is "bacterial SSU rRNA". It matches the Rfam family "Bacterial small subunit ribosomal RNA", at positions 9 to 419 of the family's 1533-position model. Lineage: Bacteria; Pseudomonadati; Pseudomonadota; Alphaproteobacteria. The record is from RNAcentral.